UUAAACCCUAGAUCCUCCUUCAAUUUACUGUACUUCUGUCUCUGUUACGUGAGAAGGAAAAAAAAGCAGCGGCAACCUUAACCUACAAAGAAAAUGCAGUUCCUCUUACGGUAUCUCCCCAAACAUUGCCUCCUCCGCCGCCCUCACCACCGUGGCUUCGUCGACUUUGCUGCUAUCAAACAUCUACGCGACCGGGGCCUCGACCAUGCAGUACAGAGAGAAAAGCAUCUGAAGCCCAUGCUGAACAUCAAGAACCUCAUAAAAUCAGAGCCAGCAAAAUCCCUCCCUCUAUCCGUCAUUACUCAGCACAAGGACUCCCUCGAAAUCCCAAGUCGCCCUAUUGAAUUCAUCCGAAAAUACCCUUCAAUCUUCGAAGAAUUUCUCCCUGGGGGAAUAGGUGUUCAUCCCCACGUCAAGCUCACGCAACAGGUACUUGAUCUUGAUGCUGAAGAGCAGUUAGUUUACCAGAGUGAGAGUUAUAGGCAGGAUAUUGCUGAUAGACUCUUAAAAUUGUUAAUGAUUUCGAGAAUUAAUAAAAUACCACUGAAGAUUCUGGAUGAUAUAAAAUGGGAUUUGGGUUUACCUGAAGAUUAUACCAAGAGUAUUGUUCCUGAGUUCCCUGACUGUUUUCGAGUUAUUGGUAAUAAGAAUUUGUCAUCUGGGUUGGAUUCAGAUUUGGAAUUGGAGCUAGUUUGUUGGAGUAAUGAAUUCGCUAUUUCGUUCAUAGAAAAGAAGGCAACAAGAGGGAAAAUGGAUUACAAAAAGGGGAUGCCUAUUGCUUUCCCUAUGCAUUUUUCGAAGGGUUUUGAGAUGGAUAAGCAGUUGAAGAAAUGGUUUGACGAUUGGCAAAAGUUGCCUUAUAUUUCUCCAUAUGAGAAUGCAACCCACCUUGGGCCUAGUACCGAUGAAUCUGACAAGUGGACAGUGGGGGUUCUGCACGAGAUUAUUCGUCUUUUUGUUUCAAAGAAGGUGGAGAAGGACGCUUUAUUGUGUCUGGGAGAGUGGUUGGGGAUCCGGUCAAGGUUAAAGAGAGCAUUGCUUCACCAUCCAGGGAUAUUUUACUUGUCUAGUAAAUUGGGAACUUAUACCGUGGUUUUAAGGGAGGCCUAUAAGAGGGGAUUGUUAAUAGAGAAGAAUCCACUGAUUAGUAUUAGGAGUAGGUAUAUUCAUCUCAUGAACAUUGUAACUGAGGAUCGAAAAGCAAUUGGUGUGCCUGGUGGAAGUACACAAGGGAAGAAGCCGGUCCCUGAUUCUAAAGAACAAAGAGAAAAAGGUGAUUGUCAGGGUAGUCUGGAGAUGAAUGAUAUGGAUUCUGAUUUUGAGAAUGAUGAUGACUACAAAUA
This 1343-nucleotide unclassified non-coding RNA is filed under the name Hevea brasiliensis (rubber tree). Lineage: Eukaryota; Viridiplantae; Streptophyta; Magnoliopsida; Malpighiales; Euphorbiaceae. The record is from RNAcentral.